UAGCUCAGCCUGGCAGAGCGCCUGGCUCAUAACCAGGUAGUCGUGGGUUCAAAUCCCUC
Molecule: transfer RNA, 59 nt
Filed under: Methanobacteriota archaeon
Lineage: Archaea; Methanobacteriati; Methanobacteriota
Description: Euryarchaeota archaeon (marine metagenome) tRNA-Met
Rfam family: tRNA
About the family: Transfer RNA (tRNA) molecules are approximately 80 nucleotides in length. Their secondary structure includes four short double-helical elements and three loops (D, anti-codon, and T loops). Further hydrogen bonds mediate the characteristic L-shaped molecular structure. tRNAs have two regions of fundamental functional importance: the anti-codon, which is responsible for specific mRNA codon recognition, and the 3' end, to which the tRNAs corresponding amino acid is attached (by aminoacyl-tRNA synthetases). tRNAs cope with the degeneracy of the genetic code in two manners: having more than one tRNA (with a specific anti-codon) for a particular amino acid; and 'wobble' base-pairing, i.e. permitting non-standard base-pairing at the 3rd anti-codon position.
Source: RNAcentral